This 497-nucleotide ribosomal RNA is filed under the name uncultured bacterium. RNAcentral's name for it is "partial 16S ribosomal RNA". It matches the Rfam family "Bacterial small subunit ribosomal RNA", at positions 28 to 507 of the family's 1533-position model. The record is from RNAcentral.
GAUGAACGCUGGCGGCGUGCCUAAUACAUGCCAGUCGAGCGAACGGACGAGAAGCUUGCUUCUCUGAUGUUAGCGGCGGACGGGUGAGUAACACGUGGAUAACCUACCUAUAAGACUGGGAUAACUUCGGGAAACCGGAGCUAAUACCGGAUGAUAUUUUGAACCGCAUGGUUCAAAAGUGAAAGACGGUCUUGCUGUCACUUAUAGAUGGAUCCGCGCUGCAUUAGCUAGUUGGUAAGGUAACGGCUUACCAAGGCAACGAUGCAUAGCCGACCUGAGAGGGUGAUCGGCCACACUGGAACUGAGACACGGUCCAGACUCCUACGGGAGGCAGCAGUAGGGAAUCUUCCGCAAUGGGCGAAAGCCUGACGGAGCAACGCCGCGUGAGUGAUGAAGGUCUUCGGAUCGUAAAACUCUGUUAUUAGGGAAGAACAGAUGUGUAAGUAACUGUGCACAUCUUGACGGUACCUAAUCAGAAAGCCACGGCUAACUACGUG